Molecule: long non-coding RNA, 625 nt
Filed under: Gossypium barbadense (sea-island cotton)
Lineage: Eukaryota; Viridiplantae; Streptophyta; Magnoliopsida; Malvales; Malvaceae
Description: long non-coding RNA (GBAR_LNC003804)
Source: RNAcentral
UCCAGCAACCUAUAUGCACACUCCAACAUGUACAAAGUCAGAAACAUUCAUGUAUUCAACAGAGUGCAGAGUAUGGUAAGUUUUGGCAUUUCAUGCAAUACCAGCUAAAGGAGCAAAAGUGCUUCAUGAUAACCAGUGAUAUAUCAAGAAUCUAGUUAGUUUUGCAAUUCACUAAUGAUGCUAAAUAUUUAAAUGCAAUGUAACUCAGGUGAUAGAUUAUUGCAUUCCAAAUGAUUAUUCCUAAAAGGAAGAUAAGACAUCUACCAAGUGAGCAUAUGUCUAAUACAAGGUAUUGGCUGGUAGACUAUCUGCAGUAACACUUUUUGUUCCGGUAGAUACAAAUAAGAAUCAAAAUACAUGCAAAUAUGUGUGUGUGUGUGAUUUUAGCAUAUUUCCAGUUUGAUUUCCUUUUCUUCUCUUUUCUUGUUCAUUUUCUUUAUUUCAUUUGGAAGGCGGUGAUAAGAAGCUUUAAGUGACAGCAUCAUCAAAUUAGUAAUCCAUACCAUGCAAAAAGAAUAGUUUUCAAGACUACUAGAAGCAGUAACAGGAAGAACGGCAGGGACAACAAUACCGUGAAGACAAAAAGCUCCCCAAUAAGAUCUACAGCAGCCUGAACAGCUUUCUC